This 252-nucleotide ribosomal RNA is filed under the name uncultured Bacteroidales bacterium. RNAcentral describes it as "partial 16S ribosomal RNA". It matches the Rfam family "Bacterial small subunit ribosomal RNA", at positions 524 to 776 of the family's 1533-position model. The record is from RNAcentral. Lineage: Bacteria; Pseudomonadati; Bacteroidota; Bacteroidia; Bacteroidales.
UACGGAGGAUGCGAGCGUUAUCCGGAUUUAUUGGGUUUAAAGGGUGCGCAGGCGGAUUUUUAAGUCAGCGGUCAAAUCGUGGGGCUCAACCCCAUCCAGCCGUUGAAACUGGCAGUCUCGAGUUGGAGAGAAGUAUGCGGAAUGCGCGGUGUAGCGGUGAAAUGCAUAGAUAUCGCGCAGAACCCCGAUUGCGAAGGCAGCCUGCCAAGCCAUGACUGACGCUGAUGCACGAAAGCGUGGGGAUCGAACAGG